Molecule: ribosomal RNA, 133 nt
Filed under: Psychrobacter sp.
Lineage: Bacteria; Pseudomonadati; Pseudomonadota; Gammaproteobacteria; Moraxellales; Moraxellaceae
Description: partial 23S ribosomal RNA
Rfam family: Bacterial large subunit ribosomal RNA
Source: RNAcentral
CUAAGCGGGAAGCCCACCUCAAGAUUAGAUUUCCCUAAAGAGCCGUUCAAGACUAGGACGUUGAUAGGCAGGGUGUGGAAGCGCAGCGAUGCGUGUAGCUAACCUGUACUAAUUGCUCGUUUGGCUUGACCAU